This is a non-coding RNA of Myodes glareolus (Bank vole), 129 nucleotides long. The record is from RefSeq and is a predicted model, not a curated record. NCBI's taxonomy places the organism in Eukaryota, Metazoa, Chordata, Mammalia, Rodentia, Cricetidae.
AGUCAGCCAAAUCAAAUGUCUUUCCAAUCCUUUUGUAAGAUGGAAGGAGUCCUCAGGGCUGCCAAAUUAGUUCUUAAGUGUAAUGGGAAAUAGUGGGCCUUUGAAUCAAAAAGGAAUACUUAGAACCUA